AUUAUGAAGUGUGUAUCUUCGGUACACUUUUCAGUCCGGGUUAACGGUGAGCUGUUGCCUUCCUUUACACCCUCGCAUGGGUUGAGACAAGGGGACCCGGCAUCGCCUUUUCUUUUUCUGCUCUGUGCGGAGGGUUUCUCCUCUAUGCUGAAGUUUUACAAUAAUGGGCACAUUGACAGAGGCAUAAGAAUGAGCUACAGAUCGCCAUGGGUUUCACAUUUGCUCUUUGCUGACGACAGCUUGAUCUUCGUUAGUGCAACUACCCAAAGUGUAGAGAGGUUGAAUGACAUCCUGAGGAUUUAC
Molecule: ribosomal RNA, 303 nt
Filed under: Triticum aestivum (bread wheat)
Lineage: Eukaryota; Viridiplantae; Streptophyta; Magnoliopsida; Poales; Poaceae
Description: partial small subunit ribosomal RNA
Source: RNAcentral